ACGCUCGACACCUACGGGAGCAGCAGUGGGGAAUAUUGCACAAUGGGGGAAACCCUGAUGCAGCGACGCCGCGUGAGCGAAGAAGUAUCUCGGUAUGUAAAGCUCUAUCAGCAGGGAAGAAGAUGACGGUACCUGACUAAGAAGCACCGGCUAAAUACGUGCCAGCAGCCGCGGUAAUCUGAGGCGGGCUGGCAAGGC
This 198-nucleotide ribosomal RNA is filed under the name uncultured bacterium. Its description in RNAcentral is "partial 16S ribosomal RNA". It matches the Rfam family "Bacterial small subunit ribosomal RNA", at positions 328 to 539 of the family's 1533-position model. The record is from RNAcentral.